This 81-nucleotide non-coding RNA is filed under the name bovine gut metagenome. RNAcentral describes it as "PGK RNA". It matches the Rfam family "PGK RNA". Rfam says of the family: mammalian gut metagenomes. The record is from RNAcentral.
UUAUCGCCUCUAAGCAUUACAAUUGUAUUGAGAAAGAAAACUCAUAAGAUAACAAUUGCUAAUAAAUACUGAUAAUAUUUA